CGGGGUGCAGCAGGCGCGAAAACUCUACAAUGCAGGCAACUGCGAUAGGGGAACAUCGAGUGAUCCUCAUAUUGGGGGUCUGUCCACCCGUCUAAAAAACGGGUGUUAGCAAGGGCCGGGCAAGACCGGUGCCAGCCGCCGCGGUAAUACCGGCGGCUCGAGUGGUGGCCGAUAUUAUUGAGUCUAAAGGGUCCGUAGCCGGCUUUGCAAGUCUCUCGGGAAAUCCAGCGGCUUAACCGUUGGUCGUCCGGGGGGUACUACAUUGCUUGGGACUGGGAGAGGUAGGAGGUACUCAGGGGGUAGGAGUGAAAUCCUGUAAUCCUUUGGGGACCACCGGUGGCGAAGGCGUCCUACCAGAACAGGUCCGACGGUGAGGGACGAAAGCUAGGGGCACGAACCGGAUUAGAUACCCGGGUAGUCCUAGCCGUAAACGAUGCUCGCUAGGUGUCACAACAGUCGUGAACUGUUGUGGUGCCGUAGGGAAGCCGUGAAGCGAGCCACUUGGGAAGUACGACCGCAAGGUUGAAACUUAAAGGAAUUG
This 541-nucleotide ribosomal RNA is filed under the name uncultured archaeon. Its description in RNAcentral is "bacterial SSU rRNA". It matches the Rfam family "Archaeal small subunit ribosomal RNA", at positions 326 to 867 of the family's 1478-position model. The record is from RNAcentral.